This 253-nucleotide ribosomal RNA is filed under the name uncultured bacterium. RNAcentral describes it as "partial 16S ribosomal RNA". It matches the Rfam family "Bacterial small subunit ribosomal RNA", at positions 524 to 776 of the family's 1533-position model. The record is from RNAcentral.
UACGAAGGGGGCUAGCGUUGUUCGGAUUUACUGGGCGUAAAGCGCACGUAGGCGGACUAUUAAGUCAGGGGUGAAAUCCCGGGGCUCAACCCCGGAACUGCCUUUGAUACUGGUAGUCUUGAGUUCGAGAGAGGUGAGUGGAAUUCCGAGUGUAGAGGUGAAAUUCGUAGAUAUUCGGAAGAACACCAGUGGCGAAGGCGACACACUGGCCCGUUACUGACGCUGAGGCGCGAAAGCAUGGGGAGCGAACGGG